UCCGUGUUACUAGCCACCAUCGUAAGCCUAACUGGUUGCCGGCGAACUGCGUAAAACACUGGCCAUCUUCUUUUUCAUCGUCUUCUCCCUUCAUCUUUUGAGGUAAGCUUGUGAUUAUGUGUUUCUUCUCUUACUUAGCUUGUAAUUAUAGACUUUGAUUUUUUUUUAAUUGGCAUUGUAGCCGUUAUUGUCAAUUUUUGUCCCGCCAGCAAUAUAUUUUUAUUGCUUCAAGUUGAAGCCCCUGUUUUCUUGUUCCAUUGGUGAGUUUGCUCACUCAAAUUAAUUUUGUUCUGCGGAAUUUGCAACGUUCAAAUGGAUUCGUUUGAAUUACUAUUGAAUUUAGCUUUAAUUUCAACAUCCAUUCUAAUGUUUUGCUAUUAGAUUUACUUUAAUUUUAUGUUUAAAGCUUCUACAGUGAAUAGCGGAGCUUGGGUUUUAGUUUCAUUUUCUAGAUAACUUGUUUAUCCUGUAUGCUCACCAAGUGCUUGUUAUAUUGUCUGAUAAGUUAUAAACAUUGCUGAUUUUAUAUUAAUAAUGUUACGUUGUAUUUUCAGAAAUUAUAAUACAAAAGUUUUUGCAAUGGCGUGCAUCUACAAACUGAAUUGACUUGUAGAAUAAGAGCUCGGAGUAGUGUUAUGUUCUUGAAUAAUUGAAAGUUCAUAUUGUGUAAGAGCAUGUAGAUGUAAAGCAUCAUUACCAUUUCUACAAAGUGCUUUCAUUCUGUUCAUAUGCUCUUCUUGAACUUUGAAAGGUGCCUCGUUCAAGUCCUAGCUAUAACUACUAGCUUUGAUUAAUUAAGUUCCUAUACUAGCUGAAACAGAUUUAUUUAAUUAAUUAAUUGUGUAUGUACUAAUUAUAUUGAAAGUAUAUGAAUUUUUUUUUAACAUGAAUGACUUCUAAAUGACUUAAAAACCUAAAGGAUGUGUGAAAUAAUGCUCAUUUCACUUGAAUGAGCCCAUUAAUACUUUUAUGUCUAUGAUUUUCAAUAUUGGCUAAAGCAUUUCAGUUAAGUGGUUUACCUAACAGAGAAAAAAAUUUAAUAGAAAACUUCAGAGUUCUAACAGAAAUAUAGUUCACUAUGCAGAUAUAGUUAUUUUACGGUAUACAAAUCAAGUUGUCCUAAUCUCAAUGCCCCAUGACCGAUUUUAUUUUAUAUAGUCAUUAAUUUUUGCCAUGGUUUUUUGUGUUUAUGAGUUUGAAAUAGUGGGAUUUGGUGUACCUUAGCAUCUUUUGAAAAUUCUCUUUAAGUGUGGCCAACAGAAAUAUACAUAUAAUCAAGUUUCUUAAUCGUGUAUAUUAGUUUUGGGUAUGAAUGUUCCUAUUGUAGUUCUAGGCAAAGCUUCUUCGUUUUGGUCUUCAGAUUUCCAGUAGGUUAAGUUAAUCAACUAUCAUAACUGGCUAGCUAGUUAUUGUCUGCCUUGGCGCCAUUACCCAGGCCAUUAUAUUGCAUAGCAUAAGGAAUAGUGAUUAGGUGAUUAUUAGUGAUUUGUUGAGCUUAUUAUUGACCAAACAAACAUAUUCGCCUUUGCCCACAACUUAGUUUGAUUAGUUAUUAGACCACAAAGAGCCUUGAUCUAUUCAUUGGCUUUAUUAUUUUUAUUUGGUUUUUCUUUCAACAAUAUUGUUGAUUUCUUAUAAAAAUAUUCAUUGGUUUUUAAACACCUAAUCAUUGGCUAUAUGAAGCUAAUUAAAAAUGAGGCUUUGGAUCAAUUUCUUCUAACAAGAUACAAAUGAGCAUAACCUUUCUCCUCUAAGUAAAUUUUUUUAAUAUCCUUGAUUUGUAAGGAUCUGGAGACCUGAAAUCCUCUAGAUGUUUUUUAACAUUGUCAAUAUUCUUUUUAUUCUGAAAAGGAAAUAAAAGGUUUUAUCUUUCAUACCCUAAUAGUAAGCUGGCCUUGUCUUAACAUGGCUUCCCGAGGAUUUGCAAGAUUCAUAGUUCCCCCAACCACCACCCCCCCCCCCCUCCCACCAAAAAAAAAAGAAAGAAGGAAGAUUUUCCAAGAUUCACUACCAGGUUUUUUUUUAAUUUAUUAAUUGUGUGUACGUACUAGUUAUAUGUUGAAAGAAUAGGAAGAAGUAUUUCAACAUGAAUGACUUAAAACUUAUUGCUCAGUAAACAUAAUCUGCAUCAGUGCGAAAAUGUAUUUAUCGUUUGUAUUUUUUAUGGUUUUGCUUAAGAAAUGAUAUGUGAAAUAAUGCUACAUUGUAUCAGGAAUAAAUUGAAGAGAUUUAUGAUAUUUAUGUGUUAUUCAAAUUUCAGAUUCAAUUUUAAACUUUUGAUACGUGCAUUGAAAGCUUAGACUUGUUUAAGAAAUUAUUAAUAGACACAUGUUUUAUUAGUGUCAUCUUUGGAUGAUAGUGAGGAUCAUAUGUCUAUUAAUAAUUCUUGAAUUGUCCAAGCUUGGACAGUUUGGGAAUGCAUAGUUCUCUCUGGUAGCUAGUAGCUGAAGUUUUUUUCCCACGUAAAAAUGGGUUUUUCGGUAGCUGCUCCUCGUGUUCUCUGGGUACGUACUAGGUGAAUGGGUGUCAUGUGUUGUUUUGGCAUAACGCAUAAACACUUAUAUAGCUACGUCGUGAGCUUGGAGAAUUAUAGGGAGAUGGUGCUGAAAUUUUUAUAAACGUAGAAGAAAACUUUAGGUACUUGAGAUUGAAGAAACUUAUGCAUUCUUGAGUGGGAUAUGUAGGAUUUAUCACUUACCUUUGGUAAAUAGGAAGGGAAUGUUGACUCCUUGAAAUAUGCCCAAACCCAUGGAGUAUCUAAAUAAGUCUGAAAACCAAACACUGUUACCUACUAGACGACAAAGCAGAAAAAUUUUCUUGACUUGCUCACCUUUUAAAUAAUUGAAACUCAGCUCAAUACUUGAAUAAGUCUCUGCAGGCACCCCUUCGAAGUUUACCAUUGAAGGCUCUCGCAAGGCAUUCUUCCAUUCAUGGAGACUCUUGUUUCUCAGUGCCCUCGCUACAGUAGUCAACGCAUGGGCAAACCUCCACAUGCCUUAGCCACAUUAAUUGCUGUAGACUUGAACUUACAACUUUCAACAUCAUCACCAUUCAUUAUCUUAAACAAUCGCCAGGCUUCUUGUUCAGUUAGAUUGCCAAUCAAAAAGUUAUCUUUGGAGCCCAUACUUAAAAGCACAUUAUUAUCUCUUGCUGUCAGCAAUAGUCUGAUAGGUCCCGAUCAAAUACAGAAAAGCAGUGCCUGAUAUUCGUUCAAUUUAUGGUAUGAACAACCAGUAUUUGUUUUGACUAAUUUCCUUCCUUUUAAUCGUCAUGGUUGCUGCUUAUUUAUCCAGAUAAACAUAAAGUAUACUACUGAUUUGUAGCCUAAAACCUUGGCUCAAAUCCAGCCAAAUCAAAUCAAUAUUAACAACUAGAUAAAAACAAAACAGAAAAUAAAUUAACUUGAUUCUUGGCAACAACUUUGAUGUAGUCUUUUUGUUAGAGUACAAUUUAUGCACUAGUUUUGCAUUAUUUACUUCCUUUAAUAUCGAUGUUUUGCACUUAAUAAUAAUGAUUAACUUGUGUUUUAUUUUUGUAGGUGCAAUUCUAUUGAUUGGUGCUAAAAUUGAGCUACAAGAUGAUAUUUGAGGAUCAUUGAUUUCUUGGAGAAAUUAUGAGCUUCAGAAAAACUGUGUUGAUAAGGUGUGGGCACGUGCCGUCAACUGCGGACCUACAGUUUUUAGUUUAACGUAUUUUAUAUUUUUGGUUAUUUUUGUAAUUAUGAAUUUAAUAUUUAGAUAAUACUUUAGAUAUCAGUAUUUUAUUGUAAAAAGAACUUUAGAGGAGAAGAGGGAGAAGAGAAUUUAAGGGAGGAAUGUAUUGUGAAAAGGAGAGAUUUUUGAAAAGAGAAAAACCCUAGAUCUAAAUUUUUCUCUUUUCUCUAUGAGGAACUAAACCUAUUAUUCUGGUUGAAGGUUAAUGAAGGUUUGAUUCAUCACUACUGUGAGAUCUUUCUUAUGCUUUAAUUAUUUUAUUAUUUU
This 3980-nucleotide long non-coding RNA is filed under the name Citrus x clementina. RNAcentral describes it as "Citrus clementina (C. clementina) long non-coding RNA (CCLE_LNC002727)". The record is from RNAcentral. Lineage: Eukaryota; Viridiplantae; Streptophyta; Magnoliopsida; Sapindales; Rutaceae.